RNAcentral lists this ribosomal RNA (562 nucleotides) under Saccharomyces cerevisiae (brewer's yeast). RNAcentral describes it as "eukaryotic LSU rRNA". It matches the Rfam family "Eukaryotic large subunit ribosomal RNA", at positions 78 to 656 of the family's 3401-position model. Lineage: Eukaryota; Fungi; Ascomycota; Saccharomycetes; Saccharomycetales; Saccharomycetaceae. The record is from RNAcentral.
GCUUAGUACGGCGAGUGAGCGGCAAAAGCUCAAAUUUGAAAUCUGGUACCUUCGGUGCCCGAGUUGUAAUUUGGAGAGGGCAACUUUGGGGCCGUUCCUUGUCUAUGUUCCUUGGAACAGGACGUCAUAGAGGGUGAGAAUCCCGUGUGGCGAGGAGUGCGGUUCUUUGUAAAGUGCCUUCGAAGAGUCGAGUUGUUUGGGAAUGCAGCUCUAAGUGGGUGGUAAAUUCCAUCUAAAGCUAAAUAUUGGCGAGAGACCGAUAGCGAACAAGUACAGUGAUGGAAAGAUGAAAAGAACUUUGAAAAGAGAGUGAAAAAGUACGUGAAAUUGUUGAAAGGGAAGGGCAUUUGAUCAGACAUGGUGUUUUGUGCCCUCUGCUCCUUGUGGGUAGGGGAAUCUCGCAUUUCACUGGGCCAGCAUCAGUUUUGGUGGCAGGAUAAAUCCAUAGGAAUGUAGCUUGCCUCGGUAAGUAUUAUAGCCUGUGGGAAUACUGCCAGCUGGGACUGAGGACUGCGACGUAAGUCAAGGAUGCUGGCAUAAUGGUUAUAUUCCGCCCCUCUUG